RNAcentral lists this ribosomal RNA (1485 nucleotides) under uncultured Bordetella sp. Its description in RNAcentral is "partial 16S-23S ribosomal RNA intergenic spacer". It matches the Rfam family "Bacterial small subunit ribosomal RNA". The record is from RNAcentral. Lineage: Bacteria; Pseudomonadati; Pseudomonadota; Betaproteobacteria; Burkholderiales; Alcaligenaceae.
GGUUCGAUUCUGGCUCAGAUUGAACGCUGGCGGGAUGCUUUACACAUGCAAGUCGAACGGCAGCACGGACUUCGGUCUGGUGGCGAGUGGCAACGGGUGAGUAAUGUAUCGGAACGUGCCUAGUAGCGGGGGAUAACUACGCGGCGUAGCUAAUACCGCAUACGCCCUUCGGGGAAAAGCGGGGACCUUCGGGCCUCGCACUAUUAAGAGCAGCCGAUAUCGGAUUAGCUAGUUGGUGGGGUAACGGCUCACCAAGGCGACGAUCCGUAGCUGGUUUGAAGGACGACCAGCCACACUGGGACUGAGACACGGCCCAGACUCCUACGGGAGGCAGCAGUGGGGGAAUUUUGGACAAUGGGGGAAACCUGAUCCAGCCAUCCCGCGUGUGCGAUGAAGGCCCUUCGGGUUGUAAAGCACUUUUGGCAGGAAAGAAACGGCACGGGAUAAUACCCCGUGCAGCUGACGGUACCUGCAGAAUAAGCACCGGCUAACUACGUGCCAGCAGCCGCGGUAAUACGUAGGGUGCAAGCGUUAAUCGGAAUUACUGGGCGUAAAGCGUGCGCAGGCGGUUCGGAAAGAAAGAUGUGAAAUCCCAGAGCUUAACUUUGGAACUGCAUUUUUAACUACCGAGCUAGAGUGUGUCAGAGGGAGGUGGAAUUCCGCGUGUAGCAGUGAAAUGCGUAGAUAUGCGGAGGAACACCGAUGGCGAGAGCGGCAACCUCCUGGGAUAACACUGACGCUCAUGCACGAAAGCGUGGGAGCAAACAGGAUUAGAUACCCUGGUAGUCCACGCCCUAAACGAUGUCAACUAGCUGUUGGGGCCUUCGGGCCUUGGUAGCGCAGCUAACGCGUGAAGUUGACCGCCUGGGAGUACGGUCGCAAGAUUAAAACUCAAAGGAAUUGACAGGGACCCGCACAAGCGGUGGAUGAUGUGGUUAAUUCGAUGCAACGCGAAAAACCUUACCUACCCUUGACAUGUCUGGAAUCCCGAAGAGAUUUGGGAGUGCUCGCAAGAGAACCGGAACACAGGUGCUGCAUGGCUGUCGUCAGCUCGUGUCGUGAGAUGUUAGGGUUAAGUCCGCAACGAGCGCAACCCUUGUCAUUAGUUGCUACGAAAGGGCACUCUAAUGAGACUGCCGGUGACAAACCGGAGGAAGGUGGGGAUGACGUCAGAGUCCUCAUGGCCCUUAUGGGCCAGGCUUCACACGUCAUACAAUGGUCGGGACAGAGGGUCGCCAACCCGCGAGGGGGAGCCAAUCCCAGGAAACCCGAUCGUAGUCCGGAUCGCAGUCUGCAACUCGACUGCGUGAAGUCGGAAUCGCUAGUAAUCGCGGAUCAGCAUGUCGCGGUGAAUACGUUCAGGUCUUGUACACACCGCCCGUCACCACCAUGGGAGUGGGUUUACCAAGAAGUAGUUAGCCUAACCGUAAGGAGGGCGAUUACCACGGUAGGAUUCAUGACUGGGGUGAAGUCGUAACAAGGUAA